UCAAGUCACACGCUCGUGUGUAAGGCCAUGUGGAGCAUACUGCUUGAUUUCAAAUUCAACAUCAAGGGACACACAGCCGUGUACUUGACCGUGUGUCACACGCGAUUGAGACACACGCCCGUGUGGACAAAAGUAGGCUAUUUACCAAGCCAAUUUGCCAUCCAAAUAUACAUAUACCUACACAACUAAAAUGCUUUUAACCUCAAGUCUUACUCAAUCAAAACAUACCAAAACACAAUUACAAAUCAAC
RNAcentral lists this long non-coding RNA (250 nucleotides) under Gossypium barbadense (sea-island cotton). Its description in RNAcentral is "long non-coding RNA (GBAR_LNC012684)". Lineage: Eukaryota; Viridiplantae; Streptophyta; Magnoliopsida; Malvales; Malvaceae. The record is from RNAcentral.